CCUACGGGAGGCAGCAGUGAGGAAUAUUGGUCAAUGGACGAGAGUCUGAACCAGCCAAGUAGCGUGAAGGAUGACUGCCCUAUGGGUUGUAAACUUCUUUUAUAUGGGAAUAAAAUGUUCCACGUGUGGGAUUUUGUAUGUACCAUAUGAAUAAGGAUCGGCUAACUCCGUGCCAGCAGCCGCGGUAAUACGGAGGAACCGAGCGUUAACCGGAUUUAUUGGGUUUAAAGGGAGCGUAGGUGGAUUGUUAAGUCAGUUGUGAAAGUUUGCGGCUAAACCGUAAAAUUGCAGUUGAAACUGGCAGUCUUGAGUACAGUAGAGGUGGGCGGAAUUCGUGGUGUAGCGGUGAAAUGCUUAGAUAUCACGAAGAACUCCGAUUGCGAAGGCAGUUCACUGGACUGCAACUGACACUGAGGCUCGAAAGUGUGGGUAUCAAACAGGAUUAGAUACCCCAGUAGUC
This 460-nucleotide ribosomal RNA is filed under the name uncultured bacterium. RNAcentral describes it as "partial 16S ribosomal RNA". It matches the Rfam family "Bacterial small subunit ribosomal RNA", at positions 338 to 795 of the family's 1533-position model. The record is from RNAcentral.